This 501-nucleotide ribosomal RNA is filed under the name uncultured bacterium. Its description in RNAcentral is "partial 16S ribosomal RNA". It matches the Rfam family "Bacterial small subunit ribosomal RNA", at positions 29 to 523 of the family's 1533-position model. The record is from RNAcentral.
AUUGAACGCUGGCGGCAUGCCUUACACAUGCAAGUCGAACGGCAGCACGGGUGCUUGCACCUGGUGGCGAGUGGCGAACGGGUGAGUAAUACAUCGGAACGUACCUUAUCGUGGGGGAUAACGCAGCGAAAGCUGUGCUAAUACCGCAUACGCCCUGAGGGGGAAAGCGGGGGAUCGCAAGACCUCGCGCGAUUAGAGCGGCCGAUGCCUGAUUAGCUUGUUGGUGGGGUAAAAGCCCACCAAGGCGACGAUCAGUAGCUGGUCUGAGAGGAAGAGCAGCCACACGGGGAAGGAGACACGGCCCAGAAGCCUACGGGAGGCAGCAGUGGGGAAUUUUGGACAAUGGGGGCAACCCUGAUCCAGCAAUGCCGCGUGAGUGAAGAAGGCCUUCGGGUUGUAAAGCUCUUUUGUCAGGGAAGAAACACCGGUUCUAACACAGUCCGGGAAUGACGGUACCUGAAGAAUAAGCACCGGCUAACUACGUGCCAGCAGCCGCCGCGG